Molecule: transfer RNA, 69 nt
Filed under: Hyperolius ocellatus (golden-eyed reed frog)
Lineage: Eukaryota; Metazoa; Chordata; Amphibia; Anura; Hyperoliidae
Description: tRNA-Asp
Rfam family: tRNA
About the family: Transfer RNA (tRNA) molecules are approximately 80 nucleotides in length. Their secondary structure includes four short double-helical elements and three loops (D, anti-codon, and T loops).
Source: RNAcentral
GAGAUGUUAAUUAAAUUAUAAUAUUGCUUUGUCAAAGCAAAUUUAUAGGUGAAACCCCAAUACCUCUCU